Molecule: ribosomal RNA, 380 nt
Filed under: uncultured bacterium
Lineage: Bacteria
Description: bacterial SSU rRNA
Rfam family: Bacterial small subunit ribosomal RNA
Source: RNAcentral
GACGAACGCUGACGGUGUGCUUUAGGCAUGCAAGUCGAACGAGAAAGCCCUUCGGGUGAGUACAGUGGCGAACGGGUGCGUAACACGUGGGCAACCUGUCCCUUACAGGGGGACAACCGGAGGAAACUCCGGCUAAUACCCCGUACGCUUGCCAGGCCGCAUGGUCUGGCAAGGAAAGGUAGCUUCGGCCAUCCGGCGAGGGAGGGGCCCGCGGUACAUUAGCUAGUUGGUGGGGUAACGGCUCACCAAGGCGACGAUGUAUAGCUGGUCUGAGAGGAUGAUCAGCCACACUGGGACUGAGACACGGCCCAGACUCCUACGGGAGGCAGCAGCCAGGAAUCUUGCACAAUGGGCGAAAGCCUGAUGCAGCAACACCGUGU